This 438-nucleotide ribosomal RNA is filed under the name Triticum aestivum (bread wheat). RNAcentral's name for it is "partial small subunit ribosomal RNA". The record is from RNAcentral. Lineage: Eukaryota; Viridiplantae; Streptophyta; Magnoliopsida; Poales; Poaceae.
AUGGCUAGAUGGACGAGUUCAUCAAAUUCAAAUGCAGAAAAGAAGACGUGGACUAGCCUGUGGAAAACUCAAGUGCCAUCUAAAAUCAAGAUAUUUUUAUGGAGGUUAGCACAGCAAUCUCGACCAUCUGCUGAUUUAUUGCAUCACCGAAAUAUGUCGACUACGUCAACCCGUGGAAUCUGUGGUUCAGAAGAUUCUUGGCAACAUUCCCUUCUCCACUGUCAUAUGGCGAGGUGUGUUUGGGCCCUUGAAGACCCGAACCUGGUCGAGGCCAUGGAGAGCAGCAGAGAAUUGGGUGCCAAAAUGUGGCUAUUUGCACUUAUUGAUUUGAUGAUUUUAUCAAAAUUGUGGUCACCUUAUGGGCUGUGUGGCAUGCACACAGGAAAGCAUUUCACAAACAUAUCUUUCCCUCGCCCCAUUCAACGCACCACUUUGUGA